AACGAACGCUGGCGGCAUGCCUAACACAUGCAAGUCGAACGAGACCUUCGGGUCUAGUGGCGCACGGGUGCGUAACGCGUGGGGACCUGCCCUUAGGUUCGGAAUAACUCCCCGAAAGGGGUGCUAAUACCGGAUAAUGUCUUCGGACCAAAGAUUUAUCGCCUUUGGAUGGGCCCGCGUUGGAUUAGCUAGUUGGUAGGGUAAAAGCCUACCAAGGCGACGAUCCAUAGCUGGUCUGAGAGGAUGAUCAGCCACACUGGGACUGAGACACGGCCCAGACUCCUACGGGAGGCAGCAGUGGGGAAUAUUGGACAAUGGGCGAAAGCCUGAUCCAGCAAUGCCGCGUGAGUGAUGAAGGCCUUAGGGUUGUAAAGCUCUUUUACCCGGGAUGAUAAUGACAGUACCGAGAGAAUAAGCUCCGGCUAACUCCGUG
Molecule: ribosomal RNA, 433 nt
Filed under: uncultured bacterium
Lineage: Bacteria
Description: partial 16S ribosomal RNA
Rfam family: Bacterial small subunit ribosomal RNA
Source: RNAcentral